CAUGAACCGCAAAAACCACCUGAUCCCUUCCCGAACUCAGAAGUGAAACGACGCAUCGCCGAUGGUAGUGUGGGGUCUCCCCAUGUGAGAGUAGGU
RNAcentral lists this ribosomal RNA (96 nucleotides) under Pseudomonas aeruginosa. Lineage: Bacteria; Pseudomonadati; Pseudomonadota; Gammaproteobacteria; Pseudomonadales; Pseudomonadaceae. The record is from RNAcentral.